Molecule: ribosomal RNA, 497 nt
Filed under: uncultured bacterium
Lineage: Bacteria
Description: partial 16S ribosomal RNA
Rfam family: Bacterial small subunit ribosomal RNA
Source: RNAcentral
GAUGAACGCUGGCGGCGUGCCUAAUACAUGCAAGUCGAGCGAACGGACGAGAAUCUUGCUUCUCUGAUGUUAGCGGCGGACGGGUGAUUAACACGUGGAUAACCUACCUAUAAGACUGGGAUAACUUCGGGAAACCGGAGCUAAUACCGGAUAAUAUUUUGAACCGCAUGGUUCAAAAGUGAAAGACGGUCUUGCUGUCCCUUAUAGAUGGAUCCGCGCUGCAUUAGCUAGUUGGUAAGGUAACGGCUUACCAAGGCAACGAUGCAUAGCCGACCUGAGAGGGUGAUCGGCCACACUGGAACUGAGACACGGUCCAGACUCCUACGGGAGGCAGCAGUAGGGAAUCUUCCGCAAUGGGCGAAAGCCUGACGGAGCAACGCCGCGUGAGUGAUGAAGGUCUUCGGAUCGUAAAACUCUGUUAUUAGGGAAGAACAUAUGUGUAAGUAACUGUGCACAUCUUGACGGUACCUAAUCAGAAAGCCACGGCUAACUACGUG